AGUCAUAACGGAACACGAUAGUUUAAAAUGGCUUAUGAGGCAGACAGACUUGAAUGGCAGACUAGCUAGAUGGGCACUAAAACUGCAGCAUUUUAAUUUUGAAAUAGAACACAGAAAAGGAAGUCCCAGACGCCCUUUCUCGACUACCGACUGAAGAGAUAAGCGAAAUAGAAGUGGUGUUGCCUCAAGUCGACCUACAAUCGCCUCACUUCUGGUCCAAUAGCUAUACCAAGUUAAAAGAUACAAUUACAGAGAAUCAAAGCCGUUUGCCAGACUUGAAAAUUGUAGAUCGUUACAUUUACAGGCGAACUCAGUUUUACCAAGGAGACUCAGUGUCAGAGUCAAACUGCUGGAAACUUUGGGUACCAUCAGAAUUGACACAGUCUGUAUUGUAUAAUGCACACGCGCCUCCUCAUAGUUCUCAUGGUGGCAUCGGAAAAACGUUGGAAAAGCUUCGUCGAAAUCUUUUUUGGCCAAAUAUGAUAAAAGACGUCAAAGAAUUUAUUGCGAGAUGUGAAGUUUGCAAACAAGUGAAAGCCCCAAACAUAACUCUCAAGCCUCCAAUGGGAAAUCCUGUAGUCUCUGAGCGACCAUUCCAACGGCUCUAUAUGGAUUUCAUAGGACUUUACCCUCGAUCAAAGCAGGGAAAUAUAGGAGUAUUUGUUGUUUUGGACCACCUAACAAAGUUUCAUUUUUUUGAAGCCGUUGAAGAAAUUCACUGCAGACCUUAUUAUAGAAUUCUUAAAAACAAAUAUAUUCCAUGUAUUCGGUAUACCUGAAGUUAUAGUAACUGAUAACGGAAGCCAGUUCAAGUCGAAUAUAUUUCAGGCAUUCAUGCAGAAGUAUGGGAUAAAGCAUAUGUUUACUGCAAUUUACAGUCCACAGGCUAAUGCCUCAUAGCGCCUUAAUAGAUCAAUUAUAUCUGGUAUCAGGGCUUAUCUAGGGAAAGACCAACGGCUAUGGGACGAUAAGCUCCGUGAGAUAUCCUUCGCCUUGAGAUCUUCACAUCAUGCCGCAAUAGGAUUUUCACCAUAUUUUGCGUUGUUUGGUAUUCAUAUGAUAACGCACGCAGACAACUAUGAAUUGCUGAGGAGGAUAGAAAUGCUUAAAGAGGUCGAGAAUAUUUUGACUACAGACAAACUGCAAAUUGUUAGAAACAAGAUCAUGGAAAACAUCAGUAAGGCAUAUCAAACCAAUAAGAGAACGUACGAUUUGCGCACAAGAUACGUUACGUUCGAACUCGGCCAACACGUCUAUAGACGAAACUUUGCCCAAAGUAACAAGAUCAAGGCAUUUAAUGCAAAAUUAGCUCCUAAAUUCUUGAAGGCAACUGUAGUUCGAAAGUUUGGUAACCACUGUUAUGAAUUAGAAGAAGAUGGUCAACAGAUAGGAAAGUUCCAUGCCAAAGACCUACAAAAGUGCGUAACUUAAAAGAUGACCGUUUUCCAGCUUAUUUUGAACAAGUAGAACAGCUUAAAAAUAACCUGUGGUGUGACGGCCCAUAUUUGGAUGGACUUAUUUGUGUGCACAGAGCUGUAGCUUAUCUGCAUGCAAGGGAAUAAACGGGAAUAAAGCGAAAGCUUUUGACGAGAGAGCGAGCUUUGGGUUAUCUUGGUGGGUUAUCUAGCCCUUGUGCUUUAGAAUGGGAUGAGGAAACAAAAUCAAAGCUCAAGCGCUGGAUCAUUCGAUCCAUGGAACUAAAUUGUGGAAGGUCAGUUUGGUGGUACGCCGAGAUAAAAGAAAAGAAAAGAAUAAAAGGUUAUACACGUGUCUGAAAAAAAAAGAAAAAUUGAAAUCAAUAAAUCGUCGAAAGUAGGGUGCACAUGCCAAGCUGCCCCAAAAAUUAAGAUCAGUGUGCCGAAAAGCCGAAAAAUCAGUGAUUCUCCAAAGAUAAACCCGGUUUCAAGCCCCAAAAGGGGUCUGAGCUUUGCCAGUCGAUCUCGGUUUCUCCAGUGUAAUUUAAUAUUGACGAAAGUUAUCCAACGGAGGUCAAACUUCUGCCGCACAACGAAAAUUUGCGAUCAACCUUAUUUUUGACCUUGGCAGAGGACAUACAGUUGCCUCUGAAAUUAUAUGUCGUGGCCUGGAUAGGCACAGACAUAUCCAUAUCGGAUGUCUUCAAGGAAAAUGAUUGACACACACACACACACACACUGAAUUCAACCGUAGUUACUAUUGCUAUUAUUUUAAUUUUUUUUUGCAUUUAAAUUUUGUACAUUAUAAUCUAAUCUAGGACACAUCAAUGCAUGCAGGACUGUUGCAGCGAUGGAAAACCAAACUUGCUGUAACUGUAGAUAAAUAAGAUGUUAUGAAGAUUUGAGGUGAUGCUGAGGAUGGUUGUUAGUUGGAGUGGAGUUAAAAUAUGAAAAUACACUGAAGAUUGAUCAACAUGAAA
Drosophila miranda is the source of this 2395-nucleotide long non-coding RNA. RefSeq lists it as uncharacterized. The record is from RefSeq and is a predicted model, not a curated record. The transcript has 3 exons. Lineage: Eukaryota; Metazoa; Arthropoda; Insecta; Diptera; Drosophilidae.